UACGGAGGAUCCAAGCGUUAUCCGGAAUCAUUGGGUUUAAAGGGUCCGUAGGCGGCUUAAUAAGUCAGUGGUGAAAGCCCUACGCUUAACGUAGGAACGGCCAUUGAUACUGUUAGGCUUGAAUUAUUAGGAAGUAACUAGAAUAUGUAGUGUAGCGGUGAAAUGCUUAGAGAUUACAUGGAAUACCAAUUGCGAAGGCAGGUUACUACUAAUGGAUUGACGCUGAUGGACGAAAGCGUGGGUAGCGAACAGGAUUAGAUACCCUGGUAGUCCACGCCGUAAACGAUGGAUACUAGCUGUUGGGAGCAAUUUCAGUGGCUAAGCGAAAGUGAUAAGUAUCCCACCUGGGGAGUACGAACGCAAGUUUG
Molecule: ribosomal RNA, 368 nt
Filed under: uncultured prokaryote
Description: bacterial SSU rRNA
Rfam family: Bacterial small subunit ribosomal RNA
Source: RNAcentral